Molecule: transfer RNA, 74 nt
Filed under: Planctomycetes bacterium RIFCSPLOWO2_12_38_17
Lineage: Bacteria; Pseudomonadati; Planctomycetota
Also listed under: 5 other names
Description: tRNA-Gln
Rfam family: tRNA
About the family: Transfer RNA (tRNA) molecules are approximately 80 nucleotides in length. Their secondary structure includes four short double-helical elements and three loops (D, anti-codon, and T loops).
Source: RNAcentral
UGGGGAAUAGUGCAACGGUAGCACAAAUGACUCUGGAUCAUUUAAUCUAGGUUCGAAUCCUAGUUCCCCAGCCA